Molecule: long non-coding RNA, 1515 nt
Organism: Daphnia pulex (common water flea)
Lineage: Eukaryota; Metazoa; Arthropoda; Branchiopoda; Diplostraca; Daphniidae
Exons: 5
Source: RefSeq, a predicted model, not a curated record
AGUCGAGAUUCACUUACUUUGAUGAAACGGUCUAGUCAUUUAUUGGUUCUUUGAUGUUGUUGGUUUAGGUCUGGCCUUCAAACAAGUUCGUAUUUCCUGGUUUGAUGUUUUUCUUUUUCCUAUUGGCCUCGCUGGGCCGAUGAUUUUUUUAAUUGGGCACUCCGACAAGUUUUUAUUUUGCUUUCUCUUUGUUUGUACAUGAUCAAGGUAGGGCGAGUUGAAGGAAUCUUUAGCUUCUCAACCGAAGGGCGUGAAUCGCGUGAUUUUGUUGAAGGUUAUUUUGCAAAAACCAGUUCACAUUUUGAAUACGUCUGUGGCUUUGAUUUCGUCUGAAAUCACGAUAAAGAAUUUCCCGAACUAUGCUACUGGUGCAUUGGUAGCAUUAAAUUCAAAUUUUUCAAAUUUUAUCAUAAAGAUUUUUUCGCCACCACAAGGUGGCCUAUAAAAGUAAAUGGACAAAACGAUCACUUUGAUUGUUGUUAGAUGUCGCUAGAAUCGCAUUGUUUUCUUGUCACAUGUUGAAAGUUCCUACUUGUGUCUUCCAUGUUUCUUCGUAAUUUUCUUUGUGUUUCGUUUGGAAUAAUUUCAACGCCUUACUAAAUGUGGAUGAGAUGGAGUAUUCAAGUACAGUCCUUACUAUUCCACUGCAUUUAACGAUGAGACAAUCAGACAACACAAGUUCACACAAAGGAAUCACAGUAAACUUCCUGGCGGAUUACGAAGCUCACUUUUACGACGUUUUUUGCCUUGGUAUAUUUAUGGGCCUCACCACAAUGAGUGUUGAAUCCUGAAAGAAUUGCUGACUGCUACCUCCUCUCAACAUUUCGUAUUUUGGCGGAUGAAAUUUUUGCCAUACUUUCUCGCCAGCAGCCGUUCUUUAGUGGACAAUCGGAGGGAGUUAAUCCAAAAUCUUUAACACCUACCUGAGAUCGCGAGUCGGCCGCCGAUGUCAAUCUACAACAUUAUUCUACAACUCUUCUACAACCCUAUUCUUUAUUGGAAUUGUGUGGUCCGGCACGGAGAUCCUUGAGUCAAUGGUGACUUGCAGCUGAUCUUUGUCCAGGACAGAAGAGUGAUUUCCACCAAAGUUCUGCUCCAAGGAUGGAGAUCUUCGCGACGCACGCUCAUCUAGCUUCACUGCUGCUGCUACACAUAUUGUCGUACAUCACUGACGAGUAAGACCACUUCAGUGGUCCCUUCAUCCGCACCUGUAGUCAUUCUCAACGGGAUUAUGCUCAGGUUUAUAUGCAGAGAAGACGUUGAGAAGAUGGACACCAAAAGGUCGCCGAUUUUUCAAAAAUGUCAGCGCGGAUCAUCAUUUGUUGUUGGUAAUAUGUUUUGUGUUAGUUAACCCGUUGGCUGCCACGCCUUUGUUCCCCCAUGUUAGCUCUGUAGCACGGGCCCGCGCUGUUCGGUCUCGUGGUUUAUUUGCCGCGCGGUCGGACAGUUGCACCAGCCCCAGAUUCGCCGAAAGGCCCUGUUAGGCAAUGCACCAUAGGGACUUCCCCCUUGUCG